Molecule: ribosomal RNA, 497 nt
Filed under: uncultured bacterium
Lineage: Bacteria
Description: partial 16S ribosomal RNA
Rfam family: Bacterial small subunit ribosomal RNA
Source: RNAcentral
GAUGAACGCUGGCGGCGUGCCUAAUACAUGCAAGUCGAGCGGACGGACGAGGAUUUUGCUUCUCUGAUGUUAGGGGCGGGCGGGUGAUUAACACGAGUAUAACCUACCUAUAAGACUGAGAUAACUUCGGGAACCCGGAUCUAACACAGGAUAAUAUUUUGAACCGCGUGGUUCAUAGGUGAAAGACGGUCUUGCUGUCACUUAUAGAUGUAUCCUCGCUGCAUUAGCUAGUUGGUACGGUAACGGCUUACCAAGGCUACGAUGCAUAGCCGACCUGAGAGGGUGAUCGGCCACACUGGAACUGAGACACGGUCCAGACUCCUACGGGAGGCAGCAGUAGGGAAUAUUCCGCAAUGGGCGAAAGCCUGACGGAGCAACGCCGCGUGUGAGAUGAAGGUCUUCGGAUCGUAAAGCUCUGUUAUUAGGGAAGAACAUAUGUGUAAGUAAAUGUGCCCAUCUUGACGGUACCUAAUCAGAAAGCAACGGCUAACUACGUG